UACGUAGGGGGCAAGCGUUGUCCGGAUUUAUUGGGCGUAAAGAGCGUGUAGGCGGCUUUGCAAGUCCGUUGUGAAAACUCGAGGCUCAACCUCGAGACGCCGGUGGAAACUGCAAAGCUAGAGUCCGGAAGAGGAGAGUGGAAUUCCUGGUGUAGCGGUGAAAUGCGUAGAUAUCAGGAAGAACACCCGUGGCGAAGGCGGCUCUCUGGGACGGUACUGACGCUGAGACGCGAAA
RNAcentral lists this ribosomal RNA (235 nucleotides) under uncultured bacterium. RNAcentral's name for it is "partial 16S ribosomal RNA". It matches the Rfam family "Bacterial small subunit ribosomal RNA", at positions 524 to 758 of the family's 1533-position model. The record is from RNAcentral.